Nycticebus coucang (slow loris) is the source of this 4018-nucleotide RNA transcript. It is a transcript of the gene named probable E3 SUMO-protein ligase RNF212, with no coding region annotated. NCBI's taxonomy places the organism in Eukaryota, Metazoa, Chordata, Mammalia, Primates, Lorisidae. The transcript is spliced from 5 exons. The record is from RefSeq and is a predicted model, not a curated record.
GAUUGGCACAUGGUUACUUGUAUGAGUUACUUACUUGAUGCAUGUGUUGCCAAGGCUGUGUCACCUGUGCCACUCGCUUGCACACACUGUUCUGAGCACUAUGAAUGAGACUUCUGUCUCCCAGUGGCCUGUGAGGUGGACUCUACCCUGCAGACUUGCUCUUGAGUAGCAGUGCUCGCCUCAAGGGAGGGACCUGGAGUCCAGGGCAAGAAGGUGGACUUUAGUAGGAAGAGCCCAGGAAGCUGUGGCAAAGGAGAAACCCCAGCUCCUUGGCAGAUGAUUGGAGCAGGAGCGCCCUGUACCUGCCCUGCCUGCCUCCCCUGCACUUGUCACCCACACCUGCCCGGUGACUCUGUGCUUCAGACUUGCAGAUGGGCCACACACUGCAUGGGUGCACCUUCCCAGGUAAAAGUACCACCAAGACCCUGGACGUCUAUCCUUUGGCACUUAUGGUCUCCAAGUCUCAGGUCAGUUUCCCAGUUUCCUGUAGCCCCCGGUGGUCAACGAGGACCGGGGAACGCUCAGAACAUCCAGGAUUAUAGGCAGCCAGGCCUGUGCACAUAUGGCUGGUGGAGGCUGUGCCCAUGUGGCAGGACCCGUGUCUGCACCUACCCUGUGGAGUCACCAUAACCACAGGCACCAGUGUCUUCUGUAGCUCACAGCUGGGCAAAGGAAGACACAGGUCCCAUUGGAUCUUCCACACUUUUUUCUGACAUCAGGAACGUCCUGAGCCUUAACAGAGUUUAUUCUCUGGCAGGAAAACCCUCCACUGGGUGAGGUAUAAAUAGGCCAAAGGGGACAAGGGGGCCCAUUUCGAUUGCAUCUCCUGGCCCGAGCCCACACAUGGUACCUGUUACACAGCUGGUCAGCCUGAGGGAGCUGCUGGCCAAACGAGAAUCUCUUUGAUUAGUCCACCUCAAGAUGGACACGUGGGCAGCAUCUCCUACCGGGGCCCUCAAAAUCUCAGCCUAACUCCCAAUCAGAGCAUGGCGAAGCCUCUCAGGAUUUUCCAGGCAUAGAGAUUCACACCAGUAAUCCCAGCACUCUUGGAAGGCUGAGGUGGGAGGAUCACUUGGGCCCAGAGGUUUGAGACCACGUUGAGCAACAUAGGAAAACCCCAUCUCUACGAAAAAAUUUCGGAAGGUUCCACCACUGCAGAUGCCCUACAGGGGACGGUCACAAACUCCAGCACACCAGUGUCCAGGUGUAGCGGGGAAAGGGGCUUCUCCCAUCCUUGGAAGCUCCCAGGCUGCACUGCCUUCCCAGGCCCCAGCCACCAGGCCACUGCUCAGCAUCUCUGGCCUGCUGCAGAGGCAGCACCUAAGCUAGUCUUGACCAGCUUUAGAGAGCAGACACCGUAAGUGUGUGGCAGGGCAGAUAUAACUUUAGAUAUACUUGAGAAUGUGUUUCUGGAGUAGUUCAGAAAUUCAAUAAUGCUCACUUUUAUAAUUUUUGUGGAUUUUAAAUUACAGUGUCAACAUUAAUCAUACUUUUUAAAAGCAUUUACAGGAUAUCUUAACUGUAAAAAAUACAUAUUUAAAGUAAUGAGCUCUUUUCUCCAACUUAUUUUUCUUAUUUGACAUUUGUAUUCUCAAUUUCUUCAACAGCGAAGUAAUUUCAAAGACAAAGUUAGCAUCUUUAUUACGACCCUCAAGUUACCUGCAGGGCCUGCACACCAUGGGGGUCUGCGCACGAGAGGGGGAUCUUUUAGGCUCCCACUCCCUCAGCCAGCACCGGCCCCACACAUGAGACAGCAUAUGUAACUGUGCUUUUUUCUUAAUGACACAUUUAAGUAAUAUAAUUGAAUAAAGUAUUUUAAUGACUAUCUGGGGUAACAUAUAUAUGAUAUGUUUGAAACUUUGCUCUUAAUGCCUUAAAAAUUCCUUAAAAUGGGGCACCGGCCCCAUAUGCUGAGGGUGGCAGGUUCAAACCCAGCCCCGGCCAAACUGCAACAACAACAACAACAAAAAAAAAAAAAUAGCCGGGCGUUGUGGCCGGCGCGUGUGGUUCCAGCUGCUCGGGAGGCUGAGGCAAGAGAAUCGCGUAGACCCAAGAGUUGGAAGUUGCUGUGAGCCGUGUGACGCCACGGCACUCUACCCGAGGGUGACACAGUGAGACUCUGUCUCUACAAAAAAAAAAAAAAAAAUUCCUUAAAAUGUUCAUGUUUGAGGCAAAAUGAACACCCACUAGCUGGUUCACUAUUAGGCUGUAUAGUUACAACAUUCUGGGAGAUGGAGUUUGUUGUGUGCGGGAGCCCAGACAGGAGUGUGUGCACAUGCCACGCACACAGGCCACUCCACCACAUCCUCACUUUACCUGUCUUUUGCCACAUGCUUCUGUUUACCUGAAACUCAGGUCAUAUGUGAAGUUGUGUCCAGAGACAAAUUCUGGACCUGAACUCAACCUGCAAGUGAGGCCUCCUCUUCCUCUCUCAGGUGGGCAGGAGACUCUGCUGUGCACUCAGGUCAGAGGCCUCAGAACCCACCUUUCUCUCACUGGUCAGGACCACACCAGACUAGAAAGGAGAUUGUGGGGUCUAUUCUAAACCUUUAUAUGAGAUUUAUAUAUGGGCCAGGCUGAGCUGCGUUGUGUGUGGUCACCUGGCCACCAGACACCUGCCUUGAGGUUUGUUUUCUUACAGUCACUGUGUAGCUGUGGGUUCAGAGUUCAGUCAUCAGCCUGGGCCCAAGCCCCUCCCUGGCUGAGUGCAGCCUCACUGGUGCCCACCUACUGCACAGGGGAGUUUGCAUUCAGGCAGUUUAAGACUCAGUUGAUGCUCAAAAGCCCUUCAUUUACCUGAAAAUUGUCAGAGAAUGUUAUAUGUGUUAUAUCUCCCUGGGCUGGUCUUAUGGCAGUUAAGUGCAACACAGGUGGGGGAAUUGCCACUCCUUUCCAGAGGCAGAGCUGAGGCUCCUUCAGCUGCACAUUUAAGACUGUGUGUGUGGUGCACGUGCCUGAGGACACCACCGCCACCGCCAGCCUCCCAAGCAUCCCGGGCCCUUGGACACCAGGAUGCCUGGGCUACCAGGUGAAAGGCCCCACAUCCUCCACCCUCACCAUCCUUGUCCUUCCGGAUGGCAUGUGGCAUAUGUUGGCUGCUGCACUGUAAGUUCACUCUGUCCUGACAAUGAGCACCGUCAGAUGCUGAGAAAUCUCAUGGUGAUGAAGUAUUCUAAGUGGGCUCCCAAAUCCCUAAUGAUAUCUAAACGUUUUUCUCUGUGCAUGUUAUGUGAUAUAUACAUGAUUAUUUCAAACUCUGAGAUAUAGGCUAAAUAUGAAAUAUGAGCAAUAAAAUAGCUUUUUAAUUACGUCUUCCUCAGGCUCCUGUCCCUUUGGUUACCCGGCAACACACUCAGCCACAGCAUUGGUUUUGGGGCCAUGGGCCCUCUGGGGUGAUGCUGUGAGGGGUGAGCAGAGAAAUCCCUCAGGGCUGUUGCUUAGGACUUUUGAAAUGUCUCCCAAGACAGCAUGAUAGUGGCCUUUACCUCUGAUCUUCUGUGGCCUCUCCCAAGGUGGAGUGCUAGUCUCCUGAGGGGAAGGGGGUUGAUGCACGUCUAAAAUCUCAUGGUUUCUUCCAUUGCUUCACCUUGCUUUGUUGACAUAAACUUGCUGCCAUAAUUUUAGCAUUUCAUGUUUUUUAUAACAUUCUCUGACAAUUUUCAGGUAAAUGAAGGGCUUUUGAGCAUCAACUGAGUCUUAAACUGCCUCAAUGCAUGCUUCCCUGUGCCGAUGGGAAGGGAGGGGCUUGGGUCCAGGAGCUCAGCCUGGCCCAUAUAUAAAUCUCAUAUAAAGGUUUAGAAUAGACCCCACAAUCUCCUUCCCUGCACUCAGCCGGGGAGGGGCUUGGGUCCAGGCUGAUGACUGAACUCUGAACCCACAACUACACAGUGACUGCAAGAAAACAGAAACCUCAAGGCAGGCCCCUCCCUGGCCGAGUGCAGCCUCACAACAGUGCCCACCCCCAUCCACACAGGGGAGGCCAUGCACAGAGGGCCCAGGGAGAGGGUUGCCAGCAACU